AGAGUUUGAUUCUGGCUCAGAACGAACGGUGGCGGCGUGGAUAAGACAUGCAAGUCGAACGGGAUUUUAUUUAUAGCAAUAUAAGUAAGGUCCAGUGGCGUAAGGGUGCGUAACACGUGGGCAAUCUGCCCUGAAGCGCGGGAUAGCUUGGCGAAAGCCAAAUUAAUACCGCAUGUGGCUACUGAGGGAUUCCUCGGGAUGCUAAAGACGGCGCAAGCUGUCGCUUCAGGAUGAGCCCGCGGCCUAUCAGCUAGUUGGUGAGGUAACGGCUCACCAAGGCUAUGACGGGUGGCUGGUCUGAGAGGACGACCAGCCACACUGGAACUGAGACACGGUCCAGACACCUACGGGUGGCAGCAGUCGAGAAUUUUUCUCAAUGGGGGAAACCCUGAAGGAGCGACGCCGCGUGGAGGAUGAAGGUUUUCGGAUUGUAAACUCCUGUCAUUUGGGAACAAACCUUUCAUUUAACUGAUGAAAGACUGAUAGUACCAGAAGAGGAAGAGACGGCUAACUCUGUGCCAGCAGCCGCGGUAAUACAGAGGUCUCAACCGUUGUUCGGAUUCAUUGGGCGUAAAGGGUGCGUAGGCGGUCGCGCAAGUCGGAUGUGAAAUCUCUGGGCUUAACCCAGAAAUGGCAUUGAAUACUAUUCGGCUAGAGAAUCGGAGGGGGGACUGGAAUACUUGGUGUAGCAGUGAAAUGCGUAGAUAUCAAGUGGAACACCAGUGGCGAAGGCGAGUCCCUGGACGAUUUCUGACGCUGAGGCACGAAAGCUAGGGGAGCAAACAGGAUUAGAUACCCUGGUAGUCCUAGCUGUAAACGGUGCACGCUUGCUGUAAAAGGAAUCGACCCCUUUUGUGGCGAAGCUAACGCGUUAAACGUGCCGCCUGGGAAGUACGGUCGCAAGAUUAAAACUCAAAGAAAUUGACGGGGGCCCGCACAAGCGGUGGAGUAUGUGGCUUAAUUCGAUUCAACGCGAAGAACCUUACCUGGCCUUGACAUGCAAGUGGCAGAACCUUGAAAGAGGGACGACCCCGCAAGGGGAGCUUGCACAGGUGCUGCAUGGCUGUCGUCAGCUCGCGUCGUGAGAUGUUGGGUUAAGUCCCGCAACGAGCGCAACCCCUGUGUCCUGUUGCCACCCGGCCGAGAGGCUGGAGCACUCUGGACAGACUGCCUCGCUUAAACGAGGAGGAAGGUGGGGAUGACGUCAAGUCAGUAUGGCCCUUACGGCCAGGGCUGCACACGUACUACAAUGCCCGGUACAAAGGGAAGCAAGACCGCGAGGUGGAGCAAAUCCCCUAAAACCGGGCUCAGUUCAGAUUGUAGGCUGCAACUCGCCUACAUGAAGCUGGAAUCGCUAGUAAUGGUGCAUCAGCUACGGCACCGUGAAUACGUUCCCAGGCCUUGUACACACCGCCCGUCACAUCAUGAAAGCCGUUCGUACCCGAAGUCGUCGUGCUAACCGCAAGGAGGCAGAUGCCGAAGGUAUGGAUGGUGAUUGGGAUGAAGUCGUAACAAGGUA
Molecule: ribosomal RNA, 1519 nt
Filed under: metagenome
Description: bacterial SSU rRNA
Rfam family: Bacterial small subunit ribosomal RNA
Source: RNAcentral